Molecule: ribosomal RNA, 468 nt
Filed under: uncultured bacterium
Lineage: Bacteria
Description: partial 16S ribosomal RNA
Rfam family: Bacterial small subunit ribosomal RNA
Source: RNAcentral
GACGAACGCUGGCGGCGUGCUUAACACAUGCAAGUCGAACGGAAAGGCCCUGCUUUUGUGGGGUGCUCGAGUGGCGAACGGGAGAGUAACAAGUGAGUAACCUGCCCUGGACUUGGGGAUAACAUGAGGAAACUGGGGCUAAUACCGGCUAGGAGUUCAUGCUGCAUGGCGGGGGUUGGAUAGUCUCGGUGGUUGGGGAUGGAUGCGGGGCUUAUCAGCUUGUUGGUGGGGUAGUGGAUUCUCAAGGCUUUGACGGGUCGACGACCUGGGAGGGUGACCGGCCACAUUGGGCCUGAGAUGCGGCCCAGACUCCUACGGGAGGCAGCGGUGGGGAAUAUUGCACAAUGGGCUGAGGGCUGAUGCAACAACGCCGCGUGCGGUAUAGCAGCCUUCGGGUUGUAAACCGCUUUCGCCUGUUACGAAGCGUGUGUGACGGUAAUUGAUAAAUAAGCACCGGCUAACUACGUG